GGAAAGUUUAAGCAAGUUGCCCAAGGUCAUGGAGCUGAUGAGAGAGAGCUGGGAUUUGAAUUAAGGCAUGGUCUAUUUCCAUACUCCCUGCUCUCUCUCACUAAUUCCCCAUUACUCUAGAAAAUGAAACAGCUACAGAAGGCUGGGAGCCAGUCACACCCAGGGUAUAAUGCCGAAGGAGAAGGGAGCAAGACUGUUGGUGGGACAUGGUUGUCCCACAGCAAGACUGUUGGUGGGACAGGGCUCCGACUGCCCUGGCCCUCUGCAGAGCCUCCUGAGAAGACAUGGGCCACAUGGGGCAAAGGGCUGGCCUCAUAAAACUGCCCAGAAGGAAAAGGUGACCCUGAAGACAGAUGGACCCCCAAAUUCCUGGAGAUUGAGGGAGGAAAGCAGCAGCCACACAGAAGAACCUGCAGCCAAGUGUUCCAUUUGGGGUCCCCAAAGAAUCCACAAAGC
Molecule: long non-coding RNA, 456 nt
Filed under: Pongo abelii (Sumatran orangutan)
Lineage: Eukaryota; Metazoa; Chordata; Mammalia; Primates; Hominidae
Description: lncRNA (ENSPPYG00000035195.1)
Source: RNAcentral